CCUACGGGUGGCUGCAGUGAGGAAUAUUGGUCAAUGGGCGCGAGCCUGAACCAGCCAAGUCGCGUGAGGGAAGACGGUCCUAUGGAUUGUAAACCUCUUUUGUAUGGGAAUAAAAUGUUCCACGUGUGGGAUUUUGUAUGUACCAUAUGAAUAAGGAUCGGCUAACUCCGUGCCAGCAGCCGCGGUAAUACGGAGGAUCCGAGCGUUAUCCGGAUUUAUUGGGUUUAAAGGGAGCGUAGGUGGAUUGUUAAGUCAGUUGUGAAAGUUUGCGGCUCAACCGUAAAAUUGCAGUUGAAACUGGCAGUCUUGAGUACAGUAGAGGUGGGCGGAAUUCGUGGUGGAGCGGUGAAAUGCUUAGAUAUUAGGAGGAACACCGGUGGCGAAGGCGGCCUGCUGGACUGUGACUGACGUUGAGGCCCGAAGGCGUGGGGAGCAAACAGGAUUAGAUACCCGGGUAGUC
This 460-nucleotide ribosomal RNA is filed under the name uncultured bacterium. Its description in RNAcentral is "partial 16S ribosomal RNA". It matches the Rfam family "Bacterial small subunit ribosomal RNA", at positions 338 to 795 of the family's 1533-position model. The record is from RNAcentral.